Molecule: RNA transcript, 967 nt
Organism: Peromyscus maniculatus bairdii (prairie deer mouse)
Lineage: Eukaryota; Metazoa; Chordata; Mammalia; Rodentia; Cricetidae
Gene: Rbpms
Gene name: RNA binding protein, mRNA processing factor
Source: RefSeq, a predicted model, not a curated record
CCCCGCAGCUCGCCCGCCCGCCCGGCUCGCCCGGGGGAAGGUAGCAAGCGGGCGAGCGCGCCCUCGCCCCAGCCCCGCGCGGCGACCAAGGACCGGGAAGAUGAACGGCGGAGGCAAAGCCGAGAAGGAGAACACCCCGAGCGAGGCCAACCUUCAGGAGGAGGAGGUCCGGACACUAUUUGUCAGUGGUCUGCCUCUGGACAUCAAACCCCGGGAGCUUUACCUGCUCUUCAGACCAUUCAAGGGCUAUGAGGGGUCUCUUAUAAAGCUCACAUCUAAACAGCCCGUAGGUUUUGUCAGUUUCGACAGUCGCUCCGAAGCAGAAGCUGCCAAGAACGCUUUGAACGGCAUCCGCUUCGAUCCGGAAAUCCCGCAGACACUACGACUAGAAUUUGCCAAGGCGAACACGAAGAUGGCCAAGAACAAACUCGUAGGGACUCCCAACCCCAGUGCUCCUUUGCCCAACACCGUACCUCAGUUCAUUGCCAGAGAGCCAUAUGAGCUCACAGUGCCUGCACUUUACCCCAGUAGCCCUGAAGUGUGGGCCCCGUACCCUCUGUACCCAGCGGAGUUAGCGCCUGCUCUUCCUCCUCCUGCUGCUGCUUUCACCUAUCCCGCCUCACUGCAUGCCCAGGUUUCGGGUCCCCGCGCCCCCUGCCUAAGGGCCCCGGCCCCUAGGCUGACCUUCCCCAGCUGACGCGGGAAGGCAGCGCCAACUCUGCUCUCUUUAGAGAGCAAAUGGACUCGGAUGAAUGCACGAGCCAUGAGCCAUGGAUGCGCUGGCUCCCUCCCUCCGAGGCUACUUCUCAGGGUUGGAAGUCCCGACAGUUCUGCUGAAGGCUGUGUUUGAAAACACCUUGUCCAGUUUUGAUCCCUUCAAGACUUUGCCACAGCCUCUAUCACACAUCUGUUUUCCUCAAAGACAAAAAAAUAUAUAAUAAAGUGUGUUUUACUCUUUUACACUGUA